GCCAGCUGUUUGCCACGUCCGGCGAGCCGCCAUUGCAAUCACUUUUGAGGUCUUUUUAAAUGCUAAAACACGUACAUGGGAAGAGACACACCUGUGGUUGAGCAAAGAACCGUUACAACAGUGCCUCCAACUAAUGGACUUGAGCAUGAAAAUAUCUAUGCUGGGCAAAUUAACAAAUGCAAACAAGUAGGUAAAAAGGAGACUUUGUCCUCAACCCCGGAUGGCAAAAACUCUUCAUGGACCUCUUGCCAUCCGCUCCAGCCCUGGACGCCUUGAUUGCACGCGGAGGUCCUUGAGGUGAGUGUAAGCCAUGUGGUCUCCGUUCAUCAACAUCCCAACACAAAUCUGGUAAGUCAACACACGGAGAGUGGAAUUUGGAAGCCGUUGGCGAUUUGGUGGCAGGUGAGAAAUGACCGUCUCCAUCCAAACCAUGGACUUUGGACAACCAACCAGGACUUUCACAUCUGGGAAGAUUAGUUUGUGCCGACUGUUCUGGAGGUCCCGCCUCCAGCGUCUGGCAGAAGGGGAACAGCCUCUCGAUGGGAGUUAUCUGCAGCUCACUUCGAGUGCAGUUAUGGAGCUCCAUCCAAAUCAUGCCAUGUUCCCUGUAAGUGCGCGAGUAGGCCAGACCUAGUCUUUCCAGCUCCACACAGACUUCAAGGGUCCUCGAUUGCAGCAGUGGACAGUCUGGAGGGCGGAUGACUCUCCAGGUGGAGCUGGACGUAGUCCUUAGAGUUCCACCACAUGGUCCUGGUCCCCGUGAAGUACCGGACUUUCACAUCUGGGAAGAUUAGCUCCCUAUGACAGUAAAUGCAAUAUAUCAGAAAGAGCGGACUGCAGACUUUUUGUCAGGAUACGAGGGUGCAGCUGGAAGGCAGGUAGGACUCGCAGGAGUUUCCAGAAGGUGCUCCAGAAGAGCCAAAGGACGUGCACCGACAACUAGACAUUGACAAUGACGCGACCGGGGACAACAGGCACACAGGGCUUAAAUUCACUAGGGAGGUGCAGGUGAUUGGACACAGGAGGAGUCAAUCACAGGACAAGGCAGGAAGUGAAGCUACCCAGGGACACAAGAGACAUGAAAACUACAACAAAAGACAGGAAGCAGAACCAAACCGUGACACUUUUAUUUAUUCAUUACAUGUUUUUAUCUUUGAUAUGGUGUAUUUUAUGCUGGUUUUAGAUAUAUAUUUUUUUAACUUGGGGUUGGGUAUUAAUGAUUUAAUUCACUUCUUUUUAGGUGGGUGUUAUGUGCUUUUAUAGAAUUUUAACUUGGGGUUGGGUAUUAAUGAUUUUAUUCAUUAUUGCACUUAAGAUGUUUAUGUUAUUUUAUGCCUAAAGUGCAGCGUUCCUUCCUGUCCCACUAUUCCCCGCAAGUCCUCUCUGAUGUCCAUCCCCUUUCCUUCCAGGUUGGACUGGAAGUUUGUGGCCGAGGGUGGAGAACGGGAAAACAUGAUGUGGACGCCAGGGUCCUUCGCCACAAACUUGCAGGCAAGUUGGACCGACCUUUGACCUUGACUCGUCCGGGGCAACCAAUUCGGUGACAUCCAGAGGGUCUGGAUCCUUCUGCCCGAAUUUGUCCAUGAAGACCCUCAAGUCCUUCCGCUGAACGUAGCCGACGGUGUAUUCGAGGGAGGCCUGAGGAUGUGACACUGUAGUGCAGUACACGGGGACGUGCAGGUCUUCGUGCAUGAAAUCUCUGCACGCAAACUCACUUUGCUGUGCUCUUCAAAUUUGUCCAGCAGAUUGUUGGUGUUUUCCACGUCUCAUCUUCCACGCGCCACUGGACCAUCCGGGAGAACACUGUUGUUGCACGGCAGCUUUGCUGCAAGAAUUCAUGUCCACUGUGCCAUUUUAUGCUUUUAUAGAAUUUUAACUUGGGGUUGGUGUUCUUGUCUUAAUGAUUUAAUGUAUUCACUUUUUACUUUAGGUGUGUUUUGUGCUUUUAUAGAAUUUUAACUUGGGGUUGGUGUUCUUGUCUUAAUGAUUUAAUGUAUUCACUUUUUACUUUAGGUGUGUUUUGUGCUUUUAUAGAAUUUUAACUUGGGGUUGGUGUUGUCUUAAUGAUUUAAUGUAUUCACUUUUUAUUUUAGGUGUGUUUUGUGCUUUUAUAGAAUUUUAACUUGGGGUUGGGUAUUAAUGAUUUCAUUUAUUCAUUAUUGCAUUUAAGAUGUGUGUUAUUUUAGUGCAGCCUUCCUUCCCGUCCCACUAUUCCCCGAUGUCCAGCCCCUUUUUUUUAUUUUAAAUCUUUAUUAUACCUCGAGUGCAGCAUUCCUUCCCGUCCCAGCAUUUUUUUUCUCCCUCAUCCCAUUUCUUAAUGCAAUUUUUACCUGGGAUUUUAAACAUUUUACUUUUUAUAAAGAUGUUUGUUUACACAAAUUCCAUCCCACUGCAGUUUAAGGCUAGGACGCCCAGGGCUUUUUUUCUUCUUUUUUUUCUAUUAGUCCUCCUGCCCUGUCGACGCUGACUUUGCUAUUGUGCUGCUUUUUUGCCCCCCUCGUCUCAAGUGCCCACGUCAAACACAUCCGCUGUCACCCUGCUGCCGUGACAACAACGUGCAGGAACUUCAUCAGUGAGGUCAUCGGUGGUUAGAUAGAUGUGAUUAGUGACUCGUUUCCGGGUCUCUCUAUACAUUGUGUUACCUUUAUCCAAAACAUGGUCCAGGUCUGCUCUUGUGAUUUUUUCAUUCUCAUGAAGGAAUGCAAGAAAGGUCAGUGAGUUACAGGUGCACUGCCGAUUUCUGGAUCUGCCGUAUCUGAUGGAAGCCUGGCUGUGGGAUGCACGCACAUGUUGUUCAGAAGGCUGAUCUCCAGGGUCUAUGCACUCUGCAUUAGAAGGUCCUGCUGCACAUGGAUCAUCACUGUUUUUUCCUCUCUCUACAGCAUCUGAUACCUGUGAUUCACAUGACUCAUUACUUUGACCUCUAAGGUUCACCUGCUUGACAUUAGAAGGUCCUGCUACACAUGGAUCAUCACUGUGCUUUCCUCUUUUCACAACAUCUGCAUAAGAUAGCAGUGGUGGACAUGAAGCGUCAGGCUGACCUUCCUGUUCCACACGUUUACACUCUGCAGACAUCUUUACCUCUGCACUGCUCUCAGGACCAACGCAUUCUGCUCCUUCAGUAGUUGUUGCACAGUGUGUGUCAUUGGGCCGCUGCCAGCGCAGGCUCUGAGCUUGUGACCUCUUACUUUUCCUUGGCAUUGUUGUCGUUUCAAAAACCACAAAUGUUGUACAAAACCAAGAUAUUAAAUGAAAUUUUGUCAAAUAUGACCUUUAACAAACCAGGAUUUGAAGAUGGAUUAAACCGGUUUGCUGCGAUUAAACAAAAACUAAUAAUGCUAAUAUGAAUGAAAAAUACUGUUUGGGGUUACACUUUUCAAAACAUAUAUAAAUAGCCUAACACUUAAAGAGAUCAAAACAUUUGUGUAACAAACACUAAUAUAUUGAACGUCAAAUUCAGUGAGAGCAACCCCAAGGAUAUUCUGGAUUCUUUUGAGGUUUUAAUAACCAAAUUAUCCAGUUGUUUGCCUUAUUACAAUAUCUGGACAAAGCACUUCUAAGAUUUAAAUACUGCAAUCGGGUCUCAGUAUGUCUGUCUAUGUUAAUGAAGUACCAUGUACUAAAGUGACCGAUUGUAUUUAAUAUGCAAUAGAUAUUGCUUACCGAAACCUUGAUUUAUCUGUGAAAAUAAAUAUUCAAUGUAAAAACUGAAGUUUACCUCAAACACACAACUUGGAACUGGUUAAUUAUACUGAAAGGCGCGGUCAGAUUUCAAAUGGCUCAAUUUACUUGUAGAAAUCAUCCUAAUACUUUAUUAAGCUAUUGUUUA
Molecule: long non-coding RNA, 3829 nt
Organism: Pungitius pungitius (ninespine stickleback)
Lineage: Eukaryota; Metazoa; Chordata; Actinopteri; Perciformes; Gasterosteidae
Exons: 4
Source: RefSeq, a predicted model, not a curated record